CGCGCGAAGCAAGGCCGCCGUGUGACCUUCCGCCCAGCGCCGUGUGACCCUUCGCCCAGCGCCGUUUGACCCUCUGCCCAGCGCCGCGCAACCUCUGUCUCCGCGCCGUCGUCCAGAUCUGCGUCGCCGUGCCCCGUCCUAAUCGCCUCUGUCUCCGUCGAAGCCAAGCCCAGCCGCCGCCCAUUCCUUUCUCCUCCGUUUUCUGCACUGCCGCGCGACUCUCCGUCCGUCUGUAUACAGUCUCUCCGUCGCACGUCGUCUCUUCGCAAAGCUGCUGCUCGACUUCUUCCGCGAAUAACACCUUUGACGUCCGCGCAAUCAGGUUUUAAUUCGCUACCGUGAACCGAACUAAAGACCCCAGAUCCAACUUUCUGCGCGUCGAGUUCCUUCUUCGUCCUGCCGCAGGUAGCAAACCCACGCCAUUCGAUUGGGUUGUUCGCUGUCGUUCCUGCUUUGCCACGAGUCAUUAAAUUUUGAUUGGUUGAAGGUAACACUCGAAUUCAUUGGGUUCGCAGCAAACAAUUGAUUCUAGUUGGAACUCGUUUUGUGAAGAUUUGGGUUCGUUCUUCGUAGACUUCAACGUGGUUAAGGAGCUUAACUAACUUGAAAGCAAAGGUAAUAAAGACGGCAAACCGGCGAGGGGCAGAAAGGAAGCGUGAUUGCCAUUGG
Molecule: long non-coding RNA, 669 nt
Organism: Cucumis sativus (cucumber)
Lineage: Eukaryota; Viridiplantae; Streptophyta; Magnoliopsida; Cucurbitales; Cucurbitaceae
Exons: 4
Source: RefSeq, a predicted model, not a curated record